This 765-nucleotide ribosomal RNA is filed under the name Rhadinorhynchus pristis. RNAcentral's name for it is "SSU rRNA". It matches the Rfam family "Eukaryotic small subunit ribosomal RNA", at positions 436 to 1223 of the family's 1831-position model. Lineage: Eukaryota; Metazoa; Acanthocephala; Palaeacanthocephala; Echinorhynchida; Rhadinorhynchidae. The record is from RNAcentral.
CAAUUUACCAAUCCAUCGGGAGGUAGGACGAGUAUGACAGUGCCGUAAUCAGAUGAUUCGGCUACUGAAUUGAGAACGAUGAAGAAUGUUAUCGAAUAUCUGUUGGAGGGCAAGUCUGGUGCCAGCAGCCGCGGUAAUUCCGCUCGAAGAGCGUCUGUUAAUGUUGCUGCGCUUGAAACGCUCGUCGUUGAAUCUCUGGCAAUUGCCUACGGACACUUCUAUUGUGGUACCGUAGGAAAGUGCCUUUUUGUAUCUUUCGUCGUUGAUUCACUUAAUUGUGUGUCACGUUCGAGAGCCACUUUCACUUUGGAGAAAUCAGUGUGCUCAUAACAGGCUUAUGCCUGCAUAAACUGCAUGGGAUGAUGAAACUGGGCCUUUGACUCGUUUCGUUGGUUUACGAUUGCAAAGGCCAUGAUUAAUCGGGACAGACGGGGGCAUUCGUAUUGCGUCGAUAGAAGUGAAAUUCGGUGACCGACGUAAGACGAACAAUCGCGAAAGCAUUUGCCAAGAAUGUUUUCAUUAAUCAAGAACGAAAGUUAGAGUAUCGAAGACGAUUAGAUACCGUCCUAGUUCUAACUGUAAACGAUGCCAACCAGGGUUUCGUCAUAGCUUAUAUGCUUGACGAGCACCCUCCGGGAAACCUGAGUAAUCGGGUUCCGGGGGGAGUAUGGUUGCAGAAUCGAAACUUAAAGGAAUUGACGGAAGGGCACACCAGGAGUGGAGCCUGCGGCUUAAUUUGACUCAACGCACGAUAGCCGACUCGGU